GACGAACGCUGGCGGCGUGCUUAACACAUGCAAGUCGAACGGAAAGGCCCUGCUUUUGUGGGGUGCUCGAGUGGCGAACGGGUGAGUAACACGUGAGUAACCUGCCCUUGACUUUGGGAUAACUUCAGGAAACUGGGGCUAAUACCGGAUAGGAGCUCCUGCUGCAUGGUGGGGGUUGGAAAGUUUCGGCGGUCGGGGAUGGACUCGCGGCUUAUCAGCUUGUUGGUGGGGUAGUGGCUUACCAAGGCUUUGACGGGUAGCCGGCCUGAGAGGGUGACCGGCCACAAUGGGACUGAGAGACGGCCCAGACUCCUACGGGAGGCAGCAGUGGGGAGUAUGGCACAAUGGGCGGAAGCCUGAUGCAGCAACGCCGCGUGCGGGAUGACGGCCUUCGGGUUGUAAACCGCUUUCGCCUGUGACGAAGCGUGAGUGACGGUAAUGGGUAAAGAAGCACCGGCUAACUACGUG
RNAcentral lists this ribosomal RNA (468 nucleotides) under uncultured bacterium. RNAcentral's name for it is "partial 16S ribosomal RNA". It matches the Rfam family "Bacterial small subunit ribosomal RNA", at positions 28 to 507 of the family's 1533-position model. The record is from RNAcentral.